UAGUGAAUCUUAAAACUGCGAAUGGCUCAUUAUAUCAGUUAUAGUUUAUUUGAUGAAUGAUCAUAUUUGAUAUGAUACUAUUGGAUAACCGUAGUAAUUCUAGGGCUAAUACAUAUUAGAAACUCUGUAUAGAGGAUAUUUAUUAGUAUGAAAACCAUAAGUCUUUGGACUUGUUGUGAGUAAUAAUAACUUAUAAUAUCGUAUGCUUUAGGUAACGAUAGAUCUUUUAAGUUUCUGCCCUAUCAGCUUUGGAUGGUAGUGUAUUGGACUACCAUGGCAGUAACGGGUAACGAAGAAUUUGGGUUCGAUUUCGGAGAGGGAGCCUGAGAGAUGGCUACCACAUCCAAGGAAGGCAGCAGGCGCGUAAAUUGUCCAAUCCUAAUACAGGGAGACAGUGACGAUACGUCAUAGAGGAGAACAAUAAUGUUAUCCAACUAAAUUGAGAACAAUGUAGAAGAGUUAUCGAUAAACAAUUGGAGGGCAAGUCUGGUGCCAGCAGCCGCGGUAAUUCCAGCUCCAAUAGCGUAUAUUAACGUUGUUGCAGUUAAAAAGCUC
Molecule: ribosomal RNA, 555 nt
Filed under: Blastocystis sp.
Lineage: Eukaryota; Bigyra; Opalinata; Blastocystidae
Description: SSU rRNA
Rfam family: Eukaryotic small subunit ribosomal RNA
Source: RNAcentral